RNAcentral lists this long non-coding RNA (214 nucleotides) under Mustela putorius furo (domestic ferret). RNAcentral describes it as "lncRNA (ENSMPUG00000025988.1)". The record is from RNAcentral. Lineage: Eukaryota; Metazoa; Chordata; Mammalia; Carnivora; Mustelidae.
AUGGCCAAAACAAUCCUAAGACAAAGAACAGAACAAAGUAUGUAUCCUAGAGAUCUUCCCAGAUCAACACAUAGAGGUGGUCUUUCUCUUUUACAACCACAGGUCCACUGCUAUGAAAGCACUCAUUCCUCUGGAUACUCACUGAAUAUCAGAAGGUCCUUGAAAAGAAUUAUAACUCUUUCAGUGGAGGUUAACUAAUCUUAAUCCUUCUGCA